CGCUGGCGGCGUGNAUCANCCAUGCAAGGAGNAAGAACCUUCGGGUUAGUGGCGGACGGGUGAGUAACGCUUUUCACUNUGCCCUCAGGAGGGGGAUAACGGUUGGAAACGACCGCUAAUACCCCAUAUGCCGAGAGGUGAAAAGAAAUUCGCCUGAGGAUGAGCUCGCGUCUGAUUAGCUAGUUGGUGUGGUAAUGGCGCACCAAGGCUUCGAUCAGUAGCUGGUCUGAGAGGAUGAUCAGCCACACUGGGACUGAGACACGGCCCAGACUCCUACGGGAGGCAGCAGUGGG
RNAcentral lists this ribosomal RNA (293 nucleotides) under uncultured bacterium. Its description in RNAcentral is "partial 16S ribosomal RNA". It matches the Rfam family "Bacterial small subunit ribosomal RNA", at positions 34 to 358 of the family's 1533-position model. The record is from RNAcentral.